RNAcentral lists this ribosomal RNA (468 nucleotides) under uncultured bacterium. RNAcentral describes it as "partial 16S ribosomal RNA". It matches the Rfam family "Bacterial small subunit ribosomal RNA", at positions 28 to 507 of the family's 1533-position model. The record is from RNAcentral.
GACGAACGCUGGCGGCGUGCUUAACACAUGCAAGUCGAACGGAAAGGCCCUGCUUUUGUGGGGUGCUCGAGUGGCGAACGGGUGAGUAACACGUGAGUAACCUGCCCUUGACUUUGGGAUAACUUCAGGAAACUGGGGCUAAUACCGGAUAGGAGCUCCUGCUGCAUGGUGGGGGUUGGAAAGUUUCGGCGGUUGGGGAUGGACUCGCGGCUUAUCAGCUUGUGGGUGGGGUAGUGGCUUACCAAGGCUUUGACGGGUAGCCGGCCUGAGAGGGUGACCGGCCACAUUGGGACUGCGAUACGGCCCAGACUCCUACGGGAGGCAGCAGUGGGGAAUAUUGCACAAUGGGCGGAAGCCUGAUGCAGCAACGCCGCGUGCGGGAUGACGGCCUUCGGGUUGUAAACCGCUUUCGCCUGUGACGAAGCGUGAGUGACGGUAAUGGGUAAAGAAGCACCGGCUAACUACGUG